This 75-nucleotide non-coding RNA is filed under the name Nitrospirota bacterium. Its description in RNAcentral is "Nitrospirae bacterium c-di-GMP sequence". It matches the Rfam family "c-di-GMP-I riboswitch aptamer". Rfam says of the family: GEMM was predicted in a large-scale screen for bacterial structured RNA regulatory elements. Genes associated with GEMM are involved in a diverse array of functions, including chemotaxis regulation, signal transduction, secretion and chitin. The record is from RNAcentral. Lineage: Bacteria; Pseudomonadati; Nitrospirota.
UCCCGAAAAAGCCACCCCCUUUUAGGAGGGGACGGAAAGCAACGGGUCUUGACAAGAGAUGGCCGAGCUGCCGAA